This 2927-nucleotide ribosomal RNA is filed under the name Salmonella enterica subsp. enterica serovar Heidelberg str. CFSAN002069. RNAcentral's name for it is "bacterial LSU rRNA". It matches the Rfam family "Bacterial large subunit ribosomal RNA". Lineage: Bacteria; Pseudomonadati; Pseudomonadota; Gammaproteobacteria; Enterobacterales; Enterobacteriaceae. The record is from RNAcentral.
GGGUUGUGAGGUUAAGCGACUAAGCGUACACGGUGGAUGCCCUGGCAGUCAGAGGCGAUGAAGGACGUGCUAAUCUGCGAUAAGCGCCGGUAAGGUGAUAUGAACCGUUAUAACCGGCGAUUUCCGAAUGGGGAAACCCAGUGUGAUUCGUCACACUAUCAUUAACUGAAUCCAUAGGUUAAUGAGGCGAACCGGGGGAACUGAAACAUCUAAGUACCCCGAGGAAAAGAAAUCAACCGAGAUUCCCCCAGUAGCGGCGAGCGAACGGGGAGGAGCCCAGAGCCUGAAUCAGCAUGUGUGUUAGUGGAAGCGUCUGGAAAGGCGCGCGAUACAGGGUGACAGCCCCGUACACAAAAGCGCAUGUGCUGUGAGCUCGAUGAGUAGGGCGGGACACGUGGUAUCCUGUCUGAAUAUGGGGGGACCAUCCUCCAAGGCUAAAUACUCCUGACUGACCGAUAGUGAACCAGUACCGUGAGGGAAAGGCGAAAAGAACCCCGGCGAGGGGAGUGAAAAAGAACCUGAAACCGUGUACGUACAAGCAGUGGGAGCACAGGUUUACCUGUGUGACUGCGUACCUUUUGUAUAAUGGGUCAGCGACUUAUAUUCUGUAGCAAGGUUAACCGUAUAGGGGAGCCGUAGGGAAACCGAGUCUUAACCGGGCGUUAAGUUGCAGGGUAUAGACCCGAAACCCGGUGAUCUAGCCAUGGGCAGGUUGAAGGUUGGGUAACACUAACUGGAGGACCGAACCGACUAAUGUUGAAAAAUUAGCGGAUGACCUGUGGCUGGGGGUGAAAGGCCAAUCAAACCGGGAGAUAGCUGGUUCUCCCCGAAAGCUAUUUAGGUAGCGCCUCGUGAAUUCAUCUCCGGGGGUAGAGCACUGUUUCGGCUAGGGGGCCAUCCCGGCUUACCAACCCGAUGCAAACUGCGAAUACCGGAGAAUGUUAUCACGGGAGACACACGGCGGGUGCUAACGUCCGUCGUGAAGAGGGAAACAACCCAGACCGCCAGCUAAGGUCCCAAAGUCAUGGUUAAGUGGGAAACGAUGUGGGAAGGCCCAGACAGCCAGGAUGUUGGCUUAGAAGCAGCCAUCAUUUAAAGAAAGCGUAAUAGCUCACUGGUCGAGUCGGCCUGCGCGGAAGAUGUAACGGGGCUAAACCAUGCACCGAAGCUGCGGCAGCGACGCUUAUGCGUUGUUGGGUAGGGGAGCGUUCUGUAAGCCUGCGAAGGUGGCCUGUGAGGGUUGCUGGAGGUAUCAGAAGUGCGAAUGCUGACAUAAGUAACGAUAAAGCGGGUGAAAAGCCCGCUCGCCGGAAGACCAAGGGUUCCUGUCCAACGUUAAUCGGGGCAGGGUGAGUCGACCCCUAAGGCGAGGCCGAAAGGCGUAGUCGAUGGGAAACGGGUUAAUAUUCCGUACUUGGUGUUACUGCGAAGGGGGGACGGAGAAGGCUAUGUUGGCCGGGCGACGGUUGUCCGGUUUAAGCGUGUAGGUGUGUGUUCCAGGUAAAUCCGGUUCACUUUAACACUGAGGCGUGACGACGAGGCACUACGGUGCUGAAGCAACAAAUGCCCUGCUUCCAGGAAAAGCCUCUAAGCAUCAGGUAACAUCAAAUCGUACCCCAAACCGACACAGGUGGUCAGGUAGAGAAUACCAAGGCGCUUGAGAGAACUCGGGUGAAGGAACUAGGCAAAAUGGUGCCGUAACUUCGGGAGAAGGCACGCUGACACGUAGGUGAAGUGAUUUACUCAUGGAGCUGAAGUCAGUCGAAGAUACCAGCUGGCUGCAACUGUUUAUUAAAAACACAGCACUGUGCAAACACGAAAGUGGACGUAUACGGUGUGACGCCUGCCCGGUGCCGGAAGGUUAAUUGAUGGGGUCAGCGCAAGCGAAGCUCCUGAUCGAAGCCCCGGUAAACGGCGGCCGUAACUAUAACGGUCCUAAGGUAGCGAAAUUCCUUGUCGGGUAAGUUCCGACCUGCACGAAUGGCGUAAUGAUGGCCAGGCUGUCUCCACCCGAGACUCAGUGAAAUUGAACUCGCUGUGAAGAUGCAGUGUACCCGCGGCAAGACGGAAAGACCCCGUGAACCUUUACUAUAGCUUGACACUGAACAUUGAGCCUUGAUGUGUAGGAUAGGUGGGAGGCUUUGAAGCGUGGACGCCAGUCUGCGUGGAGCCGACCUUGAAAUACCACCCUUUAAUGUUUGAUGUUCUAACGUGGACCCGUAAUCCGGGUUGCGGACAGUGUCUGGUGGGUAGUUUGACUGGGGCGGUCUCCUCCUAAAGAGUAACGGAGGAGCACGAAGGUUGGCUAAUCCUGGUCGGACAUCAGGAGGUUAGUGCAAUGGCAUAAGCCAGCUUGACUGCGAGCGUGACGGCGCGAGCAGGUGCGAAAGCAGGUCAUAGUGAUCCGGUGGUUCUGAAUGGAAGGGCCAUCGCUCAACGGAUAAAAGGUACUCCGGGGAUAACAGGCUGAUACCGCCCAAGAGUUCAUAUCGACGGCGGUGUUUGGCACCUCGAUGUCGGCUCAUCACAUCCUGGGGCUGAAGUAGGUCCCAAGGGUAUGGCUGUUCGCCAUUUAAAGUGGUACGCGAGCUGGGUUUAGAACGUCGUGAGACAGUUCGGUCCCUAUCUGCCGUGGGCGCUGGAGAACUGAGGGGGGCUGCUCCUAGUACGAGAGGACCGGAGUGGACGCAUCACUGGUGUUCGGGUUGUCAUGCCAAUGGCACUGCCCGGUAGCUAAAUGCGGAAGAGAUAAGUGCUGAAAGCAUCUAAGCACGAAACUUGCCCCGAGAUGAGUUCUCCCUGAGACUUAGAGUCUCCUGAAGGAACGUUGAAGACGACGACGUUGAUAGGCCGGGUGUGUAAGCGCAGCGAUGCGUUGAGCUAACCGGUACUAAUGAACCGUGAGGCUUAACCUUACAACGCCGAAG